This 2041-nucleotide long non-coding RNA is filed under the name Phasianus colchicus (ring-necked pheasant). Its description in RNAcentral is "lncRNA (ENSPCLG00000009179.1)". The record is from RNAcentral. Lineage: Eukaryota; Metazoa; Chordata; Aves; Galliformes; Phasianidae.
GCCUGACUGACUUGAGUUCAAGCCUCAAAUCUUGAAGGUGUGAUGGCACUCCCUUAGCCUGCUCCUUUAUUCUGCAAGAACUUAGCACCAUUGAGCCCCCGAAAAAGAAACUGUCCCUAGAGCCAGGCUGUGCCCACCACCACCUGCACAUCUCCCAGAACUUCCCACUCCCACAGCAGGGAAAGCUCAAACCUUUAGCAGAGCCAUUUUGACACACUUGUUGACUCCAAGCAUAACAGAAAACAGACACUGACAUCCAUGGCCCCUCAGGAAACAUGAACACUGGCCUUAACUUGCACCUUUCCAUGCACCUUUCUGCUUAACUGCUUCCACACAAACAUCCUGUGUUUUAAAUGCAUCACCUCCAUUGGCAGCCAAGAGUCAAGUUUACUCUUAGUCAACUCUGAACUGCUCCCACAUCCCUGGAAGCAGCUGCUGAUACAAUAAAGAGAUCCGACACCAUGCCAGCAGCUCGCAAUUAACAGUUAAUGAAAUACAGCCUCCCUUGUCCUCCUCUUUCAGGAGAUAAGCUUCACAGACAGCAGCACCCCACCAGGCUUAGCCCAGGGUGCUGGGCUGCACCAGGGCCACAGCCACAGCCGUAGCCAUUUGUCUGCACCUCCAAACCCUGCCUGCAACAGAGGGUGUCCUCCUAGAGUUACAGCCACCUCAGCUCUCUGACAGGACAGGCAAUGCCCUUUAGAAGUGCUCCGGGAAGGAACGGAGGCUGUCUGUAAAUUGCAGUUUAAAACCAUAAUACCCCUGCAUUGAACUGUCGUCAGAUGGUUGCAGUUUUCUAAUCUGCAUUUUGUCUGAAGGAAAUGAGAAGCAGAAUUUCUCCUUCCUCCAAAGCCCUGUUAAUUUUAAUCCUUUUGCAUGGAGCUGGAUUCAUGCUGCGGCCAGGGCAUUAAACCUGAAACAAGGUGGAUCCAAAUGGAAAAAAAUGUAGAUGAUUACUGGCCAUCUGCCAAAAAGACGCUUGGGGACGUGAAAAUUCUGGAAUCAGUGAAGGUUCAUUUUGAUCAAAUAUUCAUAUUCUGAGCCAUGUGUCAACAAUUUUACUGUUUAAAGACAAGAAGGUUGUGGAGGGGAAUACUGACACCAUCCUUCACAGGGGAGUUUACUUUCAGACUUCUUACAUAAAGAAGAAUAUGUUGUUAAAGAAGAAUGGAGCAAACAUUAAGAUUUGUUCACAUGAAGGUGCAAAAGCACUGGAAACAGGGAAAGGGGGUGGGUGGGGAACAGAGAGGUCAUAGUAACGCACUCAGCUUUUAAGUUAAGAUUAACCAUAUGUAUGGACAUUUGGGAAAUGCUUCAUGUAUUUUCAUUUCCACAGAUUCAUUGUACUAAUACCAUUAGACAGAACUAUCUUUUUUAACUGAAGGAGCUGCAGUCCUGCAGGCUCACAUGUAUAGCUGGAGUCCUAGAUUUGGAGGCCUGAAUAUAAAGACUAGCCAACACCUUCUCAUUGCAUUCAUUCUGUGAUACUUAAUUUCUCUGCUACUGAAGGGCAGCUCUUUCUUGGAAAAAAUUGCCUUCUCCAUCACGUUUGGUCCACUUAUUGCAGGAUAGCUUAACAAGAUCUUUCUGCGAUCAGCAACAAGAUUUUUCCAGCAGAAUAUUUUUCUAUUCCUGAGCAUUUCACAAACCACCUCUGAUUUUCUCAAGCAGAUUUGAUAAGCUAUGUUAUUCAAAUAUACAUCAACUCAUGGGCUGUGCAGAAUGUUCUUGUGUGAUUUGUCUUCAUUACUGCUCCAGUUUGAUUGCACAUCUCGGUUACAGGAACCACGCAUGACAGACUGUUGCUUCCUAGUAAGCUGAGCCUAAAUGAGAUAAACCAGUGAAAUUCUGUAAACAGAUGAAAUGGUUUUGAGGGCUGUUCUGCCCAUGGAAGAUUGAUUUGUGCUCCACCUAUUCUAUCCUUGCUUCCUUGGCACUUGCAUUUCCUCAACAAACAUGCCAUGAAUAUAAAAAUGUGAAACAAGUAAUUAAAACUAGCCAUAAAUGGGAGAAUUCCUACUGCAGGGAAAUCCAUUUGGAC